Cinara cedri is the source of this 4403-nucleotide non-coding RNA. The record is from the annotation of a GenBank genome assembly. Lineage: Eukaryota; Metazoa; Arthropoda; Insecta; Hemiptera; Aphididae.
AAAAUGUAUUCUUUUGUUAUUACUUAUUAGUGAAAUAUGAAAUAGGUAUUGGUUGUCUAGUUAAUUUAUAAUUAUCGGUUAAUCGCAGCUUCGAAUCAUGUCUGCUGUUGGAGCUAUACGUCAACGUUGUAUUGUCAGAACGAAAAAUUGGUGUACUUAGAAGCAAAUCGAAAGCUGCAACGACUUAUUUACUAAGGAGUGACUUAUGUAAGAAGUUGUCAAACUUUAGUAACACGAUAAUUACACAAUAAUUAGCUCAUCAUAUUGAAUCGUACUGGUGCAUUUCACAUGGUCAAUGAUCUCUUUAUUAACUAUUUAUUUAACUAUUCACAUCGCUUGAUUUAAAUGUUCACCCCUGCAUCACCUCAGUGUAUGACAAUAUCAAUUGUACUUGUACCUAUAGGUUUUUUGAAUUUCAAAGAACCACUUCUUGUUAAACAAUGAACUAUUUAUGAAUAAAAUUAUUUGUAAAAUAUGUACAUAUUAACUACUUUUGGUUAUUUCGACUACCUAUCAACGAAUAUCGGAAUAUUUAAUUUUUUUUAAAUUUAAUAGUUACAAUUUAUUUAUUUAAAUAGUUUAAUUGAAUCGGUUAUUACAUUUAAAUUUUAAUUUUAAAACAUGUACACUGGUUUGAAAUACAUUUUUUUUACACAAAACUAUUAAAGCAGCAAAUAUUUCACAAAACAUGGUUACUUGAUUAACAGUAAUACAAUUUUAUAUGGGCAGUUGCCAAUUUCCAGAUCAAACUCAUUAUUUUAAUAAUCAAUGCUGGAUCCCUAUUUUAUUUAUAUUAUUUUCUAUGAUUAAUGUUAUAAUAAUUACACCAAUUAGAUUUCCAGAAUCUCAAGUUUUUAUUUUUUAAAACAUCGUUCCUCUGCUUUUUUUCGUUCUUUUUUUCGUCCUUUGAAUGUUUUCACCUUGCUUGCAUAUAUCACAAAAUAAUGCUAUCUACAAAAUCAAUUUUAAUAACUAUUUCUUAACUAAAAAUUGGGAAGGUUAAACUUGAUUGAACUAUAUAUAUAAUAGUAUUUUUUUAAUAUAUAUAGUUUUGUUUUUUAAAUUAAAUUUUAAAGUAAUUAAAAAGAUAUCAACUUCAUUACAUUUUCAUAUAUUUCACCAAGUGGAAAGAAAAAUGAUUUCCAAUUCAUAAACUGGAUAAGAGAAAAGUACCUAUAAUUAUACAGCUGACUAUAAUAGCAUUUGCUAAUUAAUUAUUAUUAUUAUUAUUGUAAAUCGUUGGUUGUACACUUUUUCUCCGAACUUUAAACAAAUAUUUUUAACCUUUCCAGAAUAAUAAACUAUAGAAUGGCAAUCUUCAAAUUUAUCAAAAAUAAUAAAAUAAAAACAAAAUUAAUAAAAUGAUUGAUACUCAUAAAUAAAUAUAUAAAUAAAAAAUGUAUACAUAAAAAUGAAAAAUUAAUUAAUUAAUACCUGAUGAUGAAUUUUUAAUUUUAAUAAUAAUACUCCAGGCAUAGUCAUUCAUUUAUUUUAUUUUUAUGUAUACAUUUUUUUUUUUCAUGUUUUCAUCACUUGAAUAAUAUAUUUUUAUAUAUCAUACUUUUUGUAUUAUCCAAAAAUGUUUAAUUUAACUCAAAUCACAAAAAUAUUAUGUUUUAAUGUUUAUUAUAGUUAUUUUAAACUGCUAAUUUCUUUUUUCUAGUUACUGAAAAACUUUACAAUGAUCAAAAUCAAAAAAUUAUUGUAAGUUACGGUUCUGGGUGUACUUAAAGACACAUAAAUCCUUUUAUGGUAAGUCGAUAAGCCUCAUAUCAUUGGUGUUGGUGAUAUUAAAACAAUAUUAUUUAUAUUUUUAUUUUGGUCGAGUUUUCCUUGAAAAUAGAGACACUGGUAUUGUAUCUGUUAUAUUACUUUCUGUUUCCAAAUUGCAUGUGGAAAUUAUAAUAUAGACAGAGUUUUGUUGGUGAUUCUUUAGAGACUGAGUCGAGUUGCUUGCGCGAUUUUUAUUUUUUUAAAUUUUAGAUUCUGCAAAACAUUUCUCUCCUAGAAAUACUCUUAAAUUUUGAUUUUACGAUUUCAAAUUUAAAUAAUUUUACUUAGACCAAAUGAUUGAAUUUUUAAUAAAUAAGAUUUACAAAUUUUUUUUAUUUUGUGCAUGCUCAUCUCUCAAUAUUAUUAUUCAAAAAUUUAUAUUCAUUAAUGAUGUUUUUUUUUUUUUUUUGUCGUAGGGUUUUCGAAAUCAAACUAUUGACUGAUCAUUAAAAGUUAUAAAUCAAUAACUAUAUACAAUUAAUUAUAUCUACAGAUUAUAACUAUUCACACGCAACUCGACUUUGUCACAAAAAAUACCACAUAUGCCUUUCAGUAGUCAACUAGCAUUGCUUAUUUUUUUUGGCACGCAAUUCAGAUGCAACCAUUAAUAUAUCUUUCUGAUACAUUUGGGUACUUUUAUCAGCUCCCUCUAAACCAAAAUGCUUAAACUAAAUCUUUUUCCUAAUUAAUUCAUUUUAAUCAGGUUUUAAUCAGGUAAAUAGGUACCUUAAUAGAUUUAUGAAUGUAAAAGACUAGGUUAAAAUGUGUUAAGUGGGUGAUUUUUUUUUUUUUUAUCAAACCAAAAAUUUUCUCAAAGGAUUUUAAGUCAAUUUGAUUUCUGUAUGUUUUUUUUAAAAUCAUGUUGGAAUCGGGUAAGCUUUAUUUUAAAACUAUGUUAAAUUUUUUAUCCAUGUAUAUUAAAUAAGUAUAUACUUAAAUAUACUAUAUAGGAAUUUGUGUUCAAAAAGGGAGGUUCCUAUUUGAAAAACAAAAGUAUACACUUAUUUAAGGUAUAUGAAGUAAGGGUAAAACUUAAACAAUUCCACAAUGAUAAAAAAAUAGAAAACAGACAUCUAAAAUCUUAGAUCACCUUUAAAUUUUCCGAAAAAAUGGUUUAGUUCAUAAUUAAAAACUAUCACUGUAUGUAUAAAUAUAAUUGUUGUUGAGAAUAUGCCUUUAGAAAAUUUUAACUCCUCCUAUUCCCCAGCUCCUGUUUGUAUUUUAUCAAAAAUUUCAAAAACUACUUUACCCCUAUUUUGAUACAAAACUAUUUUGUUCAAAUUCUUAUUAGUUAUUAUAUAAAAAAAAAAAACUCAGAAUAUUGUAACAAGUCAGAUAAGGAAAAGCUUGAAUACUGCUAAUGUGUUUUUUUUUUUUUUUUAGGUAAUGAAGAUUAUUUUUCUGAAACCAUUGCAAAUUCUUAUUUCAACAUCACAUGGCAUUGGCUGUGCAUAUAUAAUAUGGUCUACAAGCAUCAAACAGUUGAGAAUUCAGAUUCCAAAAUAGUGCAUUAAUCUGAAAAUACAAAUGCCAGAAAAUGUUAAUAAAUAAAAACAAAAAACUUUAACUAUUAGUAAUUGUGGAAAAGACUAAAAUAAAAACAGCAAGUGGUUGAUUAUACUUUUUAUUAAUUUUUUUCUAUUUUGAUAAACUUUUGUCAUCCUUUCUAUUUAUUGUAAUUAUAAAUUUACAUACUAGUGUUCCAUAAAGGUCUGACAAAUACAAAAACUUUUAUUGUAAUCAGUAUUUUAUAAGUUUUUUUUUUCUUGUAAUAUUUUUUCAUAAAUUGCACUAUUGUUCCUUUACUUAAUUUUAAUUUGUACAAAAUCUAUGAUAGUAAUUUUAUAAAUAUAUUUUGAAACAAAAAUAUAGUAUUACAAAUAUUUACUAAUGAUAAAUUAUUAAGUUUUUAAACAAAUUAUUAAAGUUUACAAAAAUCAUUCACAAAAUUAUUUUUCGUAGAAAAAUUGGCAAAUUGAUUGAAAUUAAUUAGUGGUGGUAAUGAAAACAAUUUAAGUUAUGAUAAACUUCUAAAAUAUACUUUUAUACUUUUAGUUUUUAAAAAAAUGUAAAAUAGAAGAAUCAGCAUAAAACAAAAAAAAAAAAUCAAACAUUGAAUUAUUAUUCAAUAAGUUGAAGUUUAUUUAAUAAGUUUUAUUUGUCAGAUUUUCUUAAGACACUUGAUUAAUAAUUUAUGUAAAACAUUUAUCAAAGAAAUUAGAAUUGUAUGUAAAGUUCUCCUUAAUUACAAGUAAUUACUAUCAUGUAUUUUAAUUCAUAAUAAAUUGUUAAAAAUCUCAAUUAGUAUAUAAACCUUAUCUGAUCAUACUCUUUUAAAUUGUUUUAUAAUUGUUUAAAAUAUGUAAAUUUUUACCUAACCUAACCUAUGCUACCAGUUAUAAUUAAAUUAUAAUUAACAUCAAAGCUAAUUGAUUAAAAAUUGUAUGAUUUGCAUAGCAUUUUUUUAAUUUCAAGUGAUUAUUCUCACUGAUAAUAUAAUAUGGUAUUUAUUAUUAUAUAUUUACUAUAGUCUUAUAUAAUUAUUAGUUAAGUUAUAAUUUAUAACCCACAAUAAUAUUAAUAAGGAUUGUAAUACUAUAUUUAUGUGAUGUUCAGCAACUAUUUAAUAU